AGAGGCUACUGCUAUCGGGGUUCGAUUAAGCCAUGCGAGUUAAAUGUUCUUCGUGAACAUAGCGAACUGCUCAGUAACACGUGGAUAACCUACCCUUAGGACCGGAAUAACCCCGGGAAACUGGGGAUAAUACCGGAUAAGCCAUAGACGCUGGAAUGCCCUAUGGUUCAAAGCUCCGGCGCCUAAGGAUGGAUCUGCGGUCUAUCAGGUUGUAGUGGGUGUAACGUACCUACUAGCCGACGACGGAUACGGGUUGUGAGAGCAAGAGCCCGGAGAUGGAUUCUGAGACACGAAUCCAGGCCCUACGGGGUGCAGCAGGCGCGAACACUUUACAAUGCGGGAAACCGCGAUAAGGGAACCCCGAGUGCCAGCAUCAAAUGUUGGCUGUCCGGAUGAUUAAAAAUCAUUUGUUAGCAAGGGCCGGGCAGGACCGGUGCCAGCCGCCGCGGUAACACCGGCGGCCCGAGUGGUAGCCGUUUUUAUUGGGUCUAAAGGGUCCGUAGCCGGCUUGAUAAGUCCUUUGGGAAAUCUGGCAGCUUAACUGUCAGGCUUCUAAGGGAUACUGUCAGGCUUGGGACCGGAAGAGGUAAGGGGUACUCCAGGGGUAGGAGUGAAAUCUUGUAAUCCCUGGGGGACCAUCUGUGGCGAAGGCGCCUUACCAGAACGGGUCCGACGGUGAGGGACGAAAGCUAGGGGAGCAAACCGGAUUAGAUACCCGGGUAGUCCUAGCUGUAAACGAUGCUCGCUAGGUGUCAGACACGGUGCGACCGUGUUUGGUGCCGCAGGGAAGCCGUUAAGCGAGCCACCUGGGAAGUACGGUCGCAAGGCUGAAACUUAAAGGAAUUGGCGGGGGAGCACUACAACGGGUGGAGCCUGCG
This 878-nucleotide ribosomal RNA is filed under the name uncultured archaeon. RNAcentral describes it as "bacterial SSU rRNA". It matches the Rfam family "Archaeal small subunit ribosomal RNA", at positions 19 to 899 of the family's 1478-position model. The record is from RNAcentral.